AUGCAUGGACUGACAAUCACAAGGUCAACAGGAUCAGACCAGCCGGGAGCUCUUCUUCCUGGCCAGCGCAUGAGGUACGACGGGCGUCUGCACGGAGCAGCUCAUGAGGUAGCUGUAGCAAGGGGGUAUCUGGGACCUCCACGCCAGGGCCUCGAACCUCCCGCUGGGCGCCGGCCGCCCGGACAGAACCUCCUGCAGCGUCAUCCUGGGGACGUCCUCCUGCGCCGGACAUGCCUGGUAGCAGCCGUAGGAGACGAACACCUUGGACGUCCGGGCCAGCCUCCACAGGUAGACGUGCCGGUUCUUCCGCAGGAGGUCGUGCGGGUGCUUGCCGAACAGGUGCCGGUGCUUCUCCGUGUACUCCCUCAUGUUCCGGAGGACGCCGCGCCAGGACCGGGCGUCCAGGUUGGCCCUCAGCAGGCUGCACGCGAUGUUGCCGCCGAUGAACGACCCCUUCUCCUCCGCGCAUAUGUCCAUGGCGAUGGCCACCAGCCCCGGGUGGUCCUCCGGGUUCGCGCCGCCGAAGGCCAGCGUCUUGAAGUAGUGCCAGUAGGCCUCUGGGCUGAGCACCUUGAGCCGGAGCGCGCGCUCUGUGCCCAGCCUCUGGGCCGCCUCCGACCUGCUCGUCACUAUGAUCCUGCUUCCGCCCCCCUUGCAGAAUGCCGAGGAGCGGAGCCUCCUCCACCUCCCCUCGUCUGGAACCUCGUCUUCUGCCAGCUCGACGAUCACGAGCGAGGCUUUAUUAUGCGGGUGCGAGGCACGGCCGUGGUGCUUGAUCAGGCCGUGGUCUCCUGGAUCGCUCAGCUUGUCGUCGUCCUCGAGGUCGUCGCCGCUCAUGAGGAGGAUCGAAGAGAAGUGGCUGCGCACCCUGUCGUCAUGGCAGACAUGCUCGACGAGAGUGCUCUUCCCGACCCUGGCCGGACCGACGACGGGGAGCACGCCGGCUCCACCCUCCGCUUCUCCGUCUCGCAGCAGAAAGCCGAUGAUCUGCUCCAUUUCCUUCUGCCGGCCGAACAUGAACCUCUCGAGGAGCAGGUGCGCGCUGUAGGGCUGGCGGCAGACGCGGGGAUAGCCCUUGAGGAAGACGACGAACUCCUUCAUGUCGGCGAUCAUGCAGCCGAGCCUGUCGACCACGCGCCGCACCUCCACGGCGCUGUCCGCGGCACCGAAGCAGAGGCGCUUGGCGGGGUUGAGCCUGGACAGCACGGACGAGAGGCGGCACGGGGCCGGCGCCGGCGCGUCGUCGUCGGCGGCGUGGCCGCGGCCGCACGUGAGGGCGUCGAGCAUGUAGUGGCCGCCGUACAUGGCCUCUCUGAGCACGUCGAGCUGCCGGAGCAUGGCCUGGUUGGUGAUGCGCCGGCCCUCGGCCUCCUCGACGGUGACGCCGACGCGCAGCAGCGCGAGGCGCAGCUGCUGGACGCUGUCCUCCGCGCUGCCCUGCUGCAGGUACCUCUGGACCACGAACGACACGGACCUGCCGAGCAGGUCGCUCAGGAUUGCAGGCAGGAACAUCUCCAUGGUCACAGUGAUCAAGGUAGGGGCUGGGUGGAGUGGACUGUGCAAUAUUCCGAUCAAAGAUUCAAAGCUGGAGCUUGCGUUUGCUUUGGUCUUUUGUGCUUGGAAUAA
RNAcentral lists this ribosomal RNA (1626 nucleotides) under Triticum aestivum (bread wheat). RNAcentral describes it as "partial small subunit ribosomal RNA". The record is from RNAcentral. Lineage: Eukaryota; Viridiplantae; Streptophyta; Magnoliopsida; Poales; Poaceae.